This 254-nucleotide ribosomal RNA is filed under the name uncultured bacterium. RNAcentral describes it as "partial 16S ribosomal RNA". It matches the Rfam family "Bacterial small subunit ribosomal RNA", at positions 524 to 776 of the family's 1533-position model. The record is from RNAcentral.
UACGAGGGGGGCAAGCGUUGUUCGGAAUUAUUGGGCGUAAAGGGCGCGUAGGCGGUCUGAUAAGUCUGAUGUGAAAUCUCUGGGCUCAACCCAGAGUCUGCAUUAGAAACUGUCGGGCUUGAGUAUGGGAGAGGUGCGUGGAAUUUCCGGUGUAGCGGUGAAAUGCGUAGAUAUCGGAAGGAACACCUGUGGCGAAAGCGGCGCACUGGACCAAAACUGACGCUGGAGGCGCGAAAGCUAGGGGAGCAAACAGG